This 890-nucleotide ribosomal RNA is filed under the name uncultured marine eukaryote. RNAcentral's name for it is "SSU rRNA". It matches the Rfam family "Eukaryotic small subunit ribosomal RNA", at positions 681 to 1588 of the family's 1831-position model. The record is from RNAcentral.
GCUAGCGCUUCCCCCACAUCCUGCCGCGAACCGUGCUACCAUUAGUUUGGUGGCGCCGGGGAUCGGCUCGUUUACUUUGAGAAAAAUAGAGUGUUCAAAGCAGGCCACACGCCUUGAAUAAGUUAGCAUGGAAUAAUAAUAAAGGACUUCGGUUCUAUUUUGUUGGUGUUCGGGACUGAAGUAAUGAUUGAUAGGGACAGUUGGGGCGGUCAGUAUUCCAAAGCGAGAGGUGAAAUUCUUAGACCUUCGGAAGACUAACAGCUGCGAAAGCGUUCCGCAAGGAUGUUCCCUUUGAUCAAGAACGAAAGUUGGGGGAUCGAAGACGAUCAGAUACCGUCGUAGUCUCAACUAUAAACUAUACCAGCUAGGGAUCGGUCAACGUUAAAUUAUUCGACUUGAUCGGCACCUUAUGAGAAAUCAAAGCAUCUGGGUUCCGGGGGGAGUAUGGUCGCAAGGCUGAAACUUAAAGGAAUUGACGGAAGGGCACCACCAGCCGUGGAGCCUGUGGCUUAAUUUGACUCAACACGGGAAAACUUACCAGGUCCAGACAUAGUAAGGAUUGACAGAUUGAUAGCUCUUUCUUGAUUCUGUGGGUGGUGGUGCAUGGCCGUUCUUAGUUGGUGGAGUGAUUUGUCUGGUUAAUUCCGUUAACGAACGAGACCCCAGCCUGCUAAAUAGCGCGGUUGAGCUUUGCUCGGCGCGAGCUUCUUAGAGGGACUAUGAUGCGCGAUAGCACAUGGAAGUUUGGGGCAAUAACAGGUCUGUGAUGCCCUUAGAUGUUCUGGGCCGCACACGGGCUACACUGGCGCCUGCAACGAGCAUAUCAGCUGGCCCGAGAGGGUCUUGGCUAAUCUUUUGAACCGGCGCCGUGCUUGGGAUUGACCAUUGCA